CUGGAGCUUGCUCCAGCAGGUUAGCGGCGGACGGGUGAGUAACACGUGGGCAACCUGCCUGUAAGACUGGGAUAACUCCGGGAAACCGGAGCUAAUACCGGAUAGUAUCUUGAACCGCAUGGUUCAAGUUGGAAAGACGGUUUCGGCUGUCACUUACAGAUGGGCCCGCGGCGCAUUAGCUAGUUGGUGAGGUAAUGGCUCACCAAGGCAACGAUGCGUAGCCGACCUGAGAGGGUGAUCGGCCACACUGGGACUGAGACACGGCCCAGACUCCUACGGGAGGCAGCAGUAGGGAAUCUUCCGCAAUGGACGAAAGUCUGACGGAGCAACGCCGCGUGAGUGAUGAAGGUUUUCGGAUCGUAAAACUCUGUUGUUAGGGAAGAACAAGUGCGAGAGUAACUGCUCGCACCUUGACGGUACCUAACCAGAAAGCCACGGCUAACUACGUGCCAGCAGCCGCGGUAAUACGUAGGUGGCAAGCGUUGUCCGGAAUUAUUGGGCGUAAAGCGCGCGCAGGCGGUUUCUUAAGUCUGAUGUGAAAGCCCCCGGCUCAACCGGGGAGGGUCAUUGGAAACUGGGAAACUUGAGUGCAGAAGAGGAGAGUGGAAUUCCACGUGUAGCGGUGAAAUGCGUAGAGAUGUGGAGGAACACCAGUGGCGAAGGCGACUCUCUGGUCUGUAACUGACGCUGAGGCGCGAAAGCGUGGGGAGCGAACAGGAUUAGAUACCCUGGUAGUCCACGCCGUAAACGAUGAGUGCU
This 759-nucleotide ribosomal RNA is filed under the name Bacillus sp. FJAT-17425. RNAcentral describes it as "bacterial SSU rRNA". It matches the Rfam family "Bacterial small subunit ribosomal RNA", at positions 73 to 817 of the family's 1533-position model. The record is from RNAcentral. Lineage: Bacteria; Bacillati; Bacillota; Bacilli; Caryophanales; Bacillaceae.